Molecule: long non-coding RNA, 317 nt
Filed under: Homo sapiens (human)
Lineage: Eukaryota; Metazoa; Chordata; Mammalia; Primates; Hominidae
Description: HSALNT0321790
Source: RNAcentral
AAAAUUACCAUUUCAUUGGUUACUAGAUUCUGUGGGCAGCAGUUUAGACAGGAUAUAUCAAAGUUGGCUUCUCUCUGCUCCACAACAUCUGGGACACAUUUGGUAAGAUUAGAAGGGUGGGGAGACUCGAUGGCUGGAAUCAUGUGGAAGAGUCCCCUCCCAUUUCAGACUGAUGCCACCUGUCAGAUGAGACUCCAGUUGGGCUGUCAGCUAAAGUACUUCACAUGAUUUAUUUAUGUGGUCUCUCCAUGCAGGUUAGUCCGGGCGUCCUUGCACCAUGGCAAUAGAGCUCCAAGAGUGACAGCACUGCAAGAAGG